AGUGAACGCUGGCGGUAGGCCUAACACAUGCAAGUCGAACGGCAGCACAGUAAGAGCUUGCUCUUACGGGUGGCGAGUGGCGGACGGGUGAGGAAUACAUCGGAAUCUACUUUUUCGUGGGGGAUAACGUAGGGAAACUUACGCUAAUACCGCAUACGACCUACGGGUGAAAGCAGGGGAUCUUCGGACCUUGCGCGAUUGAAUGAGCCGAUGUCGGAUUAGCUAGUUGGCGGGGUAAAGGCCCACCAAGGCGACGAUCCGUAGCUGGUCUGAGAGGAUGAUCAGCCACAAUGGAACUGAGACACGGUCCAGACUCCUACGGGAGGCAGCAGUGGGGAAUAUUGGACAAUGGGCGCAAGCCUGAUCCAGCCAUACCGCGUGGGUGAAGAAGGCCUUCGGGUUUUAAAGCCCUUUUGUUGGGAAAGAAAAGCAGCAGGUUAAUACCCCGCUGUUCUGACGGUACCCAAAGAAUAAGCACCGGCUAACUUCGUG
Molecule: ribosomal RNA, 492 nt
Filed under: uncultured bacterium
Lineage: Bacteria
Description: partial 16S ribosomal RNA
Rfam family: Bacterial small subunit ribosomal RNA
Source: RNAcentral